RNAcentral lists this ribosomal RNA (346 nucleotides) under Salmonella enterica subsp. enterica serovar Derby. RNAcentral's name for it is "partial 23S ribosomal RNA". It matches the Rfam family "Bacterial large subunit ribosomal RNA", at positions 1 to 383 of the family's 2925-position model. The record is from RNAcentral. RNAcentral also lists the same sequence under 2 other names. Lineage: Bacteria; Pseudomonadati; Pseudomonadota; Gammaproteobacteria; Enterobacterales; Enterobacteriaceae.
GGUUAAGCGACUAAGCGUACACGGUGGAUGCCCUGGCAGUCAGAGGCGAUGAAGGACGUGCUAAUCUGCGAUAAGCGCCGGUAAGGUGAUAUGAACCGUUAUAACCGGCGAUUUCCGAAUGGGGAAACCCAGUGUGAUUCGUCACACUAUCAUUAACUGAAUCCAUAGGUUAAUGAGGCGAACCGGGGGAACUGAAACAUCUAAGUACCCCGAGGAAAAGAAAUCAACCGAGAUUCCCCCAGUAGCGGCGAGCGAACGGGGAGGAGCCCAGAGCCUGAAUCAGCAUGUGUGUUAGUGGAAGCGUCUGGAAAGGCGCGCGAUACAGGGUGACAGCCCCGUACACAAA